UGGGGAAUAUUGCACAAUGGAGGAAACUCUGAUGCAGCAACGCCGCGUGGAGGAUGACACUUUUCGGAGCGUAAACUCCUUUUAUAUAGGAAGAUAAUGACGGUACUAUAUGAAUAAGCACCGGCUAACUCCGUGCCAGCAGCCGCGGUAAUA
Molecule: ribosomal RNA, 153 nt
Filed under: uncultured Campylobacterota bacterium
Lineage: Bacteria; Pseudomonadati; Campylobacterota
Description: uncultured Epsilonproteobacteria bacterium partial 16S ribosomal RNA
Rfam family: Bacterial small subunit ribosomal RNA
Source: RNAcentral